AGAGUUUGAUCCUGGCUCAGGAUGAACGCUAGCGGCAGGCUUAAUACAUGCAAGUCGUGGGGCAGCAGGUUUGUAGCAAUACAGAUGCUGGCGACCGGCAAACGGGUGCGGAACACGUACACAACCUUCCUUUAAGUGGGGAAUAGCCCAGAGAAAUUUGGAUUAAUACCCCGUAACAUUAUGAUGUGGCAUCACAUUAUAAUUAUAGCUACGGCGCUUAAUGAUGGGUGUGCGGCUGAUUAGGUAGUUGGCGGGGUAACGGCCCACCAAGCCUGCGAUCAGUAACUGGUGUGAGAGCACGACCAGUCACACGGGCACUGAGACACGGGCCCGACUCCUACGGGAGGCAGCAGUAAGGAAUAUUGGGCAAUGGAGGAAACUCUGACCCAGCCAUGCCGCGUGGAGGAUGAAGGUCCUCUGGAUUGUAAACUUCUUUUAUAUGGGACGAAAAAGGGUCUUUCUAGGUCAACUGACGGUACCAUAUGAAUAAGCACCGGCUAACUCCGUGCCAGCAGCCGCGGUAAUACGGAGGGUGCAAGCGUUAUCCGGAUUCACUGGGUUUAAAGGGUGCGUAGGUGGGUUGGUAAGUCAGUGGUGAAAUCCCCGAGCUUAACUUGGGAACUGCCAUUGAUACUAUUAGCCUUGAAUACCGUGGAGGUCGGCGGAAUAUGUCAUGUAGCGGUGAAAUGCUUAGAUAUGACAUAGAACACCAAUUGCGAAGGCAGCUGACUACUCGGAUAUUGACACUAAGGCACGAAAGCGUGGGGAUCAAACAGGAUUAGAUACCCUGGUAGUCCACG
Molecule: ribosomal RNA, 800 nt
Filed under: uncultured bacterium
Lineage: Bacteria
Description: bacterial SSU rRNA
Rfam family: Bacterial small subunit ribosomal RNA
Source: RNAcentral